Molecule: unclassified non-coding RNA, 229 nt
Filed under: plant metagenome
Description: partial contains small subunit ribosomal RNA, internal transcribed spacer 1, and 5.8S ribosomal RNA
Source: RNAcentral
ACUCCGUAGGUGAACCUGCGGAGGGAUCAUUACAGAGUUCUCGCCCUCGCGGGUAGAUCUCCCACCCACUGUUAUCGUUACUGUGUUGCUUUGGCGGGCCGCCGGGCCCCGCUCGGCCGCCGGCUCCGGCUGGCGCGCGCCCGCCAGAGGCCCAGCAAACUCUGAAUGUUAGUGUCGACUGAGUACUAUAUAAUAGUUAAAACUUUCAACAACGGAUCUCUUGGUUCUG